AGGGCACCACCAGGAGCGGAGCCUGCGGCUUAAUUUGACUCAACACGGGAAAACUCACCCGGCCCGGACACCGUAAGGAUUGACAGACUGAGAGCUCUUUCUUAAUUCGGUGGGUGGUGGUGCAUGGCCGUUCUUAGUUGGUGGAGCGAUUUGUCUGGUUAAUUCCGAUAACGAACGAGACUCUGGCCUAUUAAAUAGACGGUAUAUCGAAAAGUAUAUCGCACUUCUUAGAGGGACAAGCGGCGUCUAGCCGCAUGAAAUAGAGCAAUAACAGGUCUGUGAUGCCCUUAGAUGUCCGGGGCUGCACGCGCGCUACACUGAAAGAAUCAGAGUGCGCUUUGCCUAGUUCGGAAGAACUGGGUAACCCAAGUAAAUUCUUUCGUGCUUGGGAUAGGGAAUUGCAAUUAUUUCCCUUAAACGAGGAAUUCCCAGUAAAUGCGGGUCAUAAGCUCGCGUUGAUUACGUCCCUGCCCUUUGUACACACCGCCCGUCGCUACUACCGAUUGGAUGACUUAGUGA
This 519-nucleotide ribosomal RNA is filed under the name uncultured eukaryote. Its description in RNAcentral is "SSU rRNA". It matches the Rfam family "Eukaryotic small subunit ribosomal RNA", at positions 1161 to 1704 of the family's 1831-position model. The record is from RNAcentral.